AUGCCCGUGUCCCAUGGCCCCACCUCCCCCAACCCCUGCAUAUAUGGACUGCUAACUGAGCCCCUGAGUCCUGAGUUGGUGGCAGCUGCAUCUGCUGUGGCAGAUUCUCUCCCUUUUGACAAGGAAACCACCAAGUCAGAGCUGCUGAGGCAGCUCCAGCAGCAUGAGGAAGCGUCAAGGGCACAGAGAGAUGCAAAGCGACCUAAAAUUAGACUUAGGGAAAAUAUAUUCACGGGGAAAAGAGUUAAUAUUUUUGACCUGACGGCAGUUACUAAAGACACACCUGAAACCGGAGCGGGCGGCGAGGGACCUGCGGCUUACGUCCCCACCCCCUUCCCCGGCUCGCCGGAGACCGAUAAGCCCGCCUCCUCCCCCGGCCGGCCCUGGGGCCGUGUCCCCGGGGCAACUGCAGCCGAGGCCUGGGCUUCUGCCUGCAGGUGUCUGCGGCGAGGCCCUCGGGGACAGCCCGAUUUGGCCUCAUGGUGGGUCUCGGGGCCAAGCGGCCUGCGUUCUCUGGUGCUGGUGGUGCUGCUGGUAGUGAUCGUCGUCCCUCGCCUUCAACUACUGGAACGUCUCUUCUGCCACGUCCUGCUUCAGGAGGAGGAGGCCGAGCUGCAGGGCCAGGUCCCGCGCACCGAAGUGGCCCGCGGGCGGCUGGAAAAGCGCAAUUGGGACCUCUUGCUGUUGGUGGACACGCACAAGAAACAGAUCACCAGAAGGAGGCCGACUGCGGCCGCCUCAGCAGCCGGCCGCAGGUCAGAGAGGGCCUGGGGAAGAGAUGCGAGGAUGACAAGGUUAAACUAUAGAACAACAUAUCAUAUCAGAUGGCAGACAUACCUCAUUUAAAGGAGCACCUUGCUGAGCUUCCUCAGGAGUUUCUUCCACAAGAAGACCAACUUCAGGACUAUAGGAAGAACAAUACUUACCUUGUGAAGAGGUUAGAAUAUGAAAGUUUUCAGUGUGAACAGCAGAUCAAGGAAAUGAGAGCACAGCAUGAAGAAAAUAUUAAAAAGUUAGCAGACCAGUUUUUACAGGAACAAAAGCAAGAGGCCCACAAGAUUCAAUCAAAUGACAGAAAAGAAUUGGGUAUAAACAAUCAAGUAGUACCUAAAAAUAUUCCAAAAGUAGCUGAGAAUGUUGCAGAUAAGAAUGAAGAACCCUCAAGCAAUCAUAUUCUACAUGGGAAAGAACAAAUCAAAAGAGGUGGUGAUGCAGGGAUGCCUGGAAUAGAAGAGAAUGACCUAGCAAAAGCUGAUGAUCUUCCCUCUGCUUUAAGAAAGCCUCCUAUUUCAGUUUCUCAACAUGGAAGUCAUCAAGCCAUCUCCCAGCUUCCAACUGGACAACCUCUCUCCCCAAAUAUGCCUCCAGAUUCACACGUAAACCACAGUGGAAACCCUGGUACUUCAAAACAGAAGCCUCCCAGUCCUCUUCAGCAUUUAAUUCCAGGCUCAAACUCGGACAGUGAACCCAGAAUUCAAACAGAUACACUAAAGCGAGCUAGCAAGGAUAGAGUCAGUGAUUUCCAUAAAUUGAAGCAAAGCUGAUUCUUUGAUGAGAAUGAAUCCCCUGUUGAUCUGCAGCAUGGCCCUAAACUGGCGGAUUAUGAUGGGGAUGAUGGUAACGUAGGUGAGUAUGAGGCAGACGAGCAGGCUGAGCUGGCUUACAAUGAGGAAGAAGUUGGUGAUGGUGGAUCGGAAGACAUCCAAGAUGAUGAAGAACGAGAGCUUCAAAUAGAUCCUGCAGACUAUGGAAAGCAACAUUUCAAUGAUGUCCUUUAAGUCCUAAAGGAACAUUUCAGAAAACCUAAAGUGCUGUAAAAUGAACUCAUUCUGCUUUGUCCUUUCUGACUUUUGUUGUAAAGAUGAGUUGUAUCCGUUGUAAAGACACAUUGAGAUAGAAUUAAGGAAAAACUUUAAUGAAGGAAUGUACCCAUGUACAUAUGUGAACUUUUUCAUAUUUUAUUAUCAAGGCAUAGACUUUUUUGGUUAUGAUACAGUUAAGCAAAAAACAGCUAAUCUUUGCAUCUAAAGCAAACUAACAUAUAUUUCACAU
Non-coding RNA from Macaca mulatta (Rhesus monkey), 2052 nucleotides. The record is from RefSeq and is a predicted model, not a curated record. Lineage: Eukaryota; Metazoa; Chordata; Mammalia; Primates; Cercopithecidae.